This 4702-nucleotide long non-coding RNA is filed under the name Sus scrofa (pig). RNAcentral describes it as "lncRNA (ENSSSCG00040018715.1)". The record is from RNAcentral. Lineage: Eukaryota; Metazoa; Chordata; Mammalia; Artiodactyla; Suidae.
CAGCAUUCACUGCAUAUGGAAGUUCUCCAGCCGGGGGAUCGAAUCCAAGCCACAGCUGUGACUUGCAACACAGCUGUGGCAAUCCCAGAGGAUCCUUAACCUGCCGCACCAUGGCAGGAACUCCACAACAUGCUGCUUUUAAUUAAGGCAACACAACGGACAAGAUGAGGAAGAAGAAAGACACUGAGAGCUUGUUUGGGUGAAGCCCACUGGAGGUGGGGUGGGAAGGACAGCAGGUGUUAACUAGCUUACCUUUGCUCCCAAGAGUAAUCGGGGAGCUUACUGAUCUUUGGGGAAAAUGUCCUUGGGGAAAAUAUUUGCUUACAGAGCAGCUGAGCACAACCUACAAUAAAGCAGUAAACUAUGUCUAGAUCAGACAUACUGAUGCCACUUUUUCUUUGGGGCUAGAGAGAGCACAGAAAUAUUUCCUUCCCAAGGCAAAACUGAGAAGAAAAAAAAAAUUAUUUCCUUCCACCCACAGUAAAUAUUUGAGGAAGUUUAGGAGCAAAUUGAUUUUCAAAACAAACAGAAACAAAACAGGCUUUCUCUGCACUAUUCUGGGUCCCCAGAGGUAUAUUAAACAGGUUGGUGGAUACCACCUCAGAAAUUUAAAGAAUAAAUUUUUUGGUUUCAUUGUCUUCUCCCUCUUCCAAAAUUGGAAUUGAGUUCAGGGAACCCUGUAGGCAGAACAACCAAAUUUAGAGACACUCUUGCCCAAGGACAAACAUAUUCCCGCCUCACAGAAAACUUCCCAGCAAUCUGAACUCUCUGGUGAAGCCGCAGAGAUGGCCACGGGCAACCUGGCCCGAAGCCGGUAAUCUUUGCUAGGCCAAGACAAAGUGAGUUUUUAUUAGCCACUUCAGUCCUAUGGAAGAUCACCCAAACUACGAUUUUUACAAUUAGCUUACAGCAAGUCAAUGUUUCAGCCGCAGCACAGUCCUACUGGAGAAAAGAAUGAAAUUCUUUCCUAAUUCAGAAAUAGUCAUAAAAACUACUCUCAAUGUGAUCCUUAAUACAAAAUGGACAGUUACCAAUAUAAUCAAGGGCAGGUACGUGGACAUAAAGGACGUCCUUUGGAAAAAUAUUGGAACAUAAAACCUUCUAUGAGUCAUAGAUAAAAUUUACAAGCAAGGUAACUCUGGGGAGAAUACACACUGGAUGUGAAUCAACCUAGAAGCAUUGAUUGUCGAAAUAACUACCUUGUUGACUCUCAUUUAAUCUGUGGUAUUAGUAUUUUCAACCCCCAAGAGCCAUUUUUUUUUUUUAGGAUUGCAAGUAAGCAAAUUGAAUGCUAAGAAAAACAGUUUAUGGGUUAUAUCCAUACACACGUUGAGGCCUGAAAACAGUGUCCUUUUCAGAUAUUAAAGAACAAAAGACUAAAAUUUUAUAAAACAUGUUGAUAUAUUUAGAGCACAUAGACUACUGCUGAUCUUCAUCUAAUGCUGGCCAGACCACUGAACUGAAUAGCUGUUACCAUAUUGAGUCCCUUGUAACUAUCAAAAUGAGUUUUUCAUACCCCAGUUAUAUAUCACUUAUUAAUUAUAAUGAAAUGAAUUUAAUUAGCACAAUAAAACAAUGACAGAAAAAUAGAGAUAGGUGAAUACCCUUGUGCCUUAAGAACCCUAUUAAGAAAAUUAAUAUUAAUAAUAUGUCACGACUGUUGAGUUUUUAUAUCCACAGAGUGUGCUAAGUUUGUUAUGUGAUUUAUCCUACUUAUACUCAAACACACCCUUGAGAGAAGUGUAUUAUUAUCCCUGUUUUACCAGAUAUGGACAAAAUGCUUAAAGAGUUUAAGCAAUUCAUCUGGGUUCUCAAAGCUGGGGAGCUAUAGAACUGGGCCUCUACCACUGUAUAAAAGGACACAACUGAUCACAGAAGAUCACCCUCAAAUCUUCAGAUUUAAUCUAUCCAACCUGCAGAAAGUGAGGCAUUUUCCUCCCCUUUGGAAUUUUUUAUGACCCCGGAAAUAUUUUAACUUAAAAAAAUUGAAAUGGAUAUCUUCAUUCCUAAUUUUAAUUGCUGAAAUAUUACUUAAUAUCUCUUCCUGUUGCUUUGCAAUCCCCACAAAGCUCCAGGUCUUCUCCUCUUAACUGUUCUUCUCAAAAUCCUUCCCAACCUCUCUUCUCCACCCUCACCAUUAUUUAAUACCAAAGGAUCUUGCUUUUACCCUCACAGUACACUUCCUGCCUACCCAAUCUCAUUCCUGCCCAUGACUUCAAAAUACUGUCUCUAUGCCAUUAAAUUCAAAGGGUGGAAUUAGUCCUAAAUGGAAAACCAUUCAGAAAAUAUGGGAAUCCAGUGUUUAGGUACUCAUUAAGCUUCAGUUAAUCAAAAUUAUAACUGUAGAGUUUUAAGAUCUAUGUAAUAAAAUAAAAAUUAACAUUUCCCAGAUAAAAGUUGGUCCCAUAUAAUCCUUUAAGAAACAUGAAGAAUUUUGUUUUAUUUACUUUGCUUUCUUUACUCCUGUUAUUUCUACCAUCUAUAUUCACUUCAUUAUUAAAACAUCAAUACAUAUAUACAUGAAAGUAUUCUAGAUAUUUAUGAUCAUAAUCUCAUGACUUGGAAGACACCAUAUUUACAUUUAAUGAAACACGUUUAUGGAGGUAGAAGGUAGAUGGGCCCCUAAGCUGAGAACAGCUGGGACUUGUUAGGCUGAGUAAAUUGGGCCUUGCUUCUCUUUGACAACCCAAGGAGAAACUUAAUGGCAGGAGCUGAGCCCUGCUGGAGCAAAAAGGUAAGAUGACUGCAGCAAUCACUCUUAAGGUCAAGGAAACCUCCCCAACUACACAUGCACAAAAAACAAGACUCCUAGGGGUCAAAAAGGAAGGGAAUGCCAGGCCCUAAGUUGGCUAACGUUCCUGUAAGCCCUUGCUCUAGAAUCCAUCUUGGCCAAAAGAUGUGCAUACAUAUCAAGGAGGGCCCUGGGUCCUAUCAGGUGAAAGAAAUAGAAACAAGAUAACUUUCCAAAGGAGAACAAAGACUUGGAAGAAUUGUCCUAUAUAAAUGGUUUAAAUCACUUCUCUGCAAUGUUCCUCACUCAGGAGGAUGUCCACACCCACACUCCUUUUUUUGGGUGUGUAUUACUGCCUUGCUUCUAUCUUAAAUAAACUACUCUUUGUGCUUUCUCACAUGUUUGAUGAUGGUAUAUUGUGUUGAUGGUGUAUUGAGAGCAAAGUGAAACCAAUAUCCAAUCUAACAUAUGAUCAAAAUUUUCUGAGUCAACAUCAGACACAUACCAUCUGUUUGAAAUAAGUAGGGAGGGGCAAAAGGGUGCAAAGAAAUGAGAUCUAAUGUCAACAUCAGAAUCAGCUGGGGCCUUAGCCCCUAUACCAAAUCCUUUACUGCAGCAUUGAAAGCAGACAGUUACAUGGAUAGUCCUUGCCACAAGAGCCAUGGUCUUCAAACUUACGUACCUUUUUAAAAUGAUUUUAUAAAGCUAUGUACCCUCACAGAGUUUGAGACUGACAUUUUGUUUUUUCAUGGCAAGUUAAAUAGCAAGGUAUAUCAGCCAUGGCACAUUAAAAAUGUUAAUGUUUUGUAAUAAAAUUUAUAUAAUUCUUUCAAUAAAUCCAGAGUAAUCUAAACACGAGAGAGAACUACAUGAACAGAUCUUAUUUAUAGCUGGAAAUUUUACUUCAUUCCUAUUUUUUUUGAACUUAUAUAUCUAUCCCCACUGAAGUUUAUCUCAGGUAAUAAGUUCUAUGCUUGCAAGUCCUUUUAUUGAUCAUAUCUCUACAAUAAAAAUAUGUAAAAUUUACUUUAAAAAAAUUCCUCAUGACCAUAUGACUAAGUGUAAAAAAAUUUUCUUCUGGAUUGAGUUAUAAUUAAAAUGAUUUGAAGAGCAUAAUUAUCAAAACAAACAUAUCUGAAAUUGUAAUAAAUAAUUAUUAAACAAAGAUCACAAUUACUGGAAAUGACUCUCCUAAUGAGAUGGUUUGGUCUUUUUCCAUUUAUUUCAUUUACUCCACGGGUGACUAUUAUUUACUGUUAAAAGAAGAUAGAGCCUGGCAUCAAUUUUUUUUUUCCAGUUUGUUUUGUCUUUAUGACUAUAACUGUGAAGAUUCUUUGUUCAUAUAAACAAACAGAUGGAAACGGAAGAGACUCUUUCCAUUAUAGCAAUGUCACUCAAAUCCUUGAACUCCUUCUCAGUUAUAUGCCAAAAGUCAGUGAUCUUUCAUCAACAAUUAUUUUAAUCGUAUAUUGUCUGACAACUCAAUUAGGCCCUCUGCUUCUGCAACUUCCCUUAAAGGAGAGAACUGUAAACCCACCUGACUUGCAAAUAGAUUUGUUACCCAGUUGUCAGAGCCAUUCCAUCUGUCAAUACUUUAACCAAAUUGUAUCUUUCACUUUUUUUUUUUUUGGUGGGGGUGGAGGAUAUACUCAAAGUUCUGAGUCUAUAUACCAGUGGACAAUCCUCUUAUAACUCCCCCAUAUGCAUGCUCCAGUCUAAAUCCACCACACAAAAACAUGAUAGCAACUUACAUCACAUUUAGGUAUGUUCAGUUCUCCUAAAAGUAUGCUGUUCAAACUAGAGCACACAGUAGAUCUGAACCAAAUGACUUAAAGAUCUCUGAAAGAUCUUUUUAUCAUCAGCAAAUAAAUGCACACACAAUGAUUCAAAUAUUUAUCACAAUUAAUUCAGUUUUAAGACAAGCUAAGCAGAAAUCUUCCAGAGAAUGCCAGAAUUUGUUUUCAUACUCCU